Long non-coding RNA from Zophobas morio, 575 nucleotides. RefSeq lists it as uncharacterized. The record is from RefSeq and is a predicted model, not a curated record. NCBI's taxonomy places the organism in Eukaryota, Metazoa, Arthropoda, Insecta, Coleoptera, Tenebrionidae. The transcript is spliced from 5 exons.
UAUAUGCUUUCUGCGAUUUUUUUCUUUUUGUUGCUAUUAUCACCACUUUAGUAACUAUAUUUUACCAUCUUGUUUAUGUAAAAAAUAACACCUCCAGCGUUCAACCCUGGACCUCUUCUCCCGAAGUCAUUAAAAUUAAAUUCAAAUCGAGAAAGAUUUACGAGGAAUGUAGGCACAAGAAUCCCAACGACCACAAAAUUGCAAAAGAGUUGUUAUUAAACAGAGCCAUAGACGCUUUGAAACGGCAAAGUAUAUUGGAAAAUUAUCGAAAGGGGUUUCUUACUUUAAAAGAUAAUCUACCAGACGACUUUUCUAAACAAGUAGAAAGUCUUUUCUUAGAAAUUGACAAAGAAAUGGUCGAAAUUACAGCUGAAAGUAAUCUUCUUGUGUCAGGAUGGGGGAAUUCUAUAUUUAACGAUGCUUUUCACCUAUUGGAAAAAAACAUUUCCUCAAAAAAUGAAUUCGAGAAACUUCUUUUAGAUGCUCUUGAUAAAAUGGAAAAGACUGGAGAUAAGCCUAUUUUAAGAGCUGGAGAAGAUGAUAAUAGUCAACUCGUUUCUAUUAAUUUUUCAAAA